GGUCUCAUAGUUCAACGGAUAGAAUACCUGCCUGCCGGCAGGCAGGGGAGUUUCCUAAACUCUAGAUCCAGGGUCCCUGCCUGGCGGCAGGCAGGCUUGUCGGCCGAAGCCUCGGCGAAGGCAGAGAUUCCUGGUGAGACCACCA
RNAcentral lists this transfer RNA (145 nucleotides) under Bacteroidota bacterium. Its description in RNAcentral is "Bacteroidetes bacterium (activated sludge metagenome) tRNA-OTHER". Lineage: Bacteria; Pseudomonadati; Bacteroidota. The record is from RNAcentral.